AAAAUAGAUCAUCUAAAAAUAUUAACAAUUUUUCACCAGAAUUUUAAAUUUCAGCUGCAAACCAGAUCCAUGCAUCUUUACAUGCCAGACCAUCGACAUCGAACAGUGAAGCUGCAAACCAGAUUCAGAUCAGAUCUACACAUGCCAGAGUACCUCUGUCAACAUCAAACAGUGAAAAUGCACAAACUUCAGCUACUGCAUCUACGAGUACAGGCCAAGCUUGUCUGAAAUCUGGAAUAAGCAUUCGACCG
This is a long non-coding RNA of Cydia splendana, 251 nucleotides long. RefSeq lists it as uncharacterized. The record is from RefSeq and is a predicted model, not a curated record. The transcript is spliced from 3 exons. NCBI's taxonomy places the organism in Eukaryota, Metazoa, Arthropoda, Insecta, Lepidoptera, Tortricidae.